CUUGCUGGGUGGAUUAGUGGCGAACGGGUGAGUAACACGUGAGUAACCUGCCCUUAACUCUGGGAUAAGCCUGGGAAACUGGGUCUAAUACCGGAUAGGAGCGUCCACCGCAUGGUGGGUGUUGGAAAGAUUUAUCGGUUUUGGAUGGACUCGCGGCCUAUCAGCUUGUUGGUGAGGUAAUGGCUCACCAAGGCGACGACGGGUAGCCGGCCUGAGAGGGUGACCGGCCACACUGGGACUGAGACACGGCCCAGACUCCUACGGGGAGGCAGCAGUGGGGAAUAUUGCACAAUGGGCGAAAGCCUGAUGCAGCGACGCCGCGUGAGGGAUGACGGCCUUCGGGUUGUAAACCUCUUUCAGUAGGGAAGAAGCGAAAGUGACGGUACCUGCAGAAGAAGCACCGGCUAACUACGUGCCAGCAGCCGCGGUAAUACGUAGGGUGCGAGCGUUAUCCGGAAUUAUUGGGCGUAAAGAGCUCGUAGGCGGUUUGUCGCGUCUGUCGUGAAAGUCCGGGGCUUAACCCCGGAUCUGCGGUGGGUACGGGCAGACUAGAGUGCAGUAGGGGAGACUGGAAUUCCUGGUGUAGCGGUGGAAUGCGCAGAUAUCAGGAGGAACACCGAUGGCGAAGGCAGGUCUCUGGGCUGUAACUGACGCUGAGGAGCGAAAGCAUGGGGAGCGAACAGGAUUAGAUACCCUGGUAGUCCAUGCCGUAAACGUUGGGCACUAGGUGUGGGGACCAUUCCACGGUUUCCGCGCCGCAGCUAACGCAUUAAGUGCCCCGCCUGGGGAGUACGGCCGCAAGGCUAAAACUCAAAGGAAUUGACGGGGGCCCGCACAAGCGGCGGAGCAUGCGGAUUAAUUCGAUGCAACGCGAAGAACCUUACCAAGGCUUGACAUGUUCUCGAUCGCCGUAGAGAUACGGUUUCCCCUUUGGGGCGGGUUCACAGGUGGUGCAUGGGUUGUCGUCAGCUCGUGUCGUGAGAUGUUGGGUUAAGUCCCGCAACGAGCGCAACCCUCGUUUCCAUGUUGCCAGCACGUCGUGGUGGGGACUCAUGGGAGACUGCCGGGGUCAACUCGGAGGAAGGUGAGGACGACGUCAAAUCAUCAUGCCCCUUAUGUCUUGGGCUUCACGCAUGCUACAAUGGCCGGUACAAUGGGUUGCGAUACUGUGAGGUGGAGCUAAUCCCAAAAAGCCGGUCUCAGUUCGGAUUGGGGUCUGCAACUCGACCCCAUGAAGUCGGAGUCGCUAGUAAUCGCAGAUCAGCAACGCUGCGGUGAAUACGUUCCCGGGCCUUGUACACACCGCCCGUCAAGUCACGAAAGUUGGUAACACCCGAAGCCGGUG
The sequence is a ribosomal RNA, 1345 nucleotides long. It matches the Rfam family "Bacterial small subunit ribosomal RNA", at positions 79 to 1432 of the family's 1533-position model.